This 738-nucleotide ribosomal RNA is filed under the name Telimena sp. Its description in RNAcentral is "partial 28S ribosomal RNA". The stretch from base 8 to 648 matches the Rfam family "Eukaryotic large subunit ribosomal RNA", at positions 24 to 664 of the family's 3401-position model. Lineage: Eukaryota; Fungi; Ascomycota; Sordariomycetes; Phyllachorales; Telimenaceae. The record is from RNAcentral.
AACACGGGCCCCUGCAUUUUCAAUAAGCGGAGGGAAAAGAAACCCACAGGGAUUGCCCCUAGUUGACCGAACACCGCCGAGUGAAGCGCGGCAACAGCUUCAAAUUUGAAAUCUGGCUUCGGCCCGAGUUGUAAUUUGCAGAGGAUGCUUUCGGGCAAAGGUGCCUUCCGAGUCCACUGGAACGUGGCGCCACAGAGGGUGAGAGCCCCGUAUCGUUGGAUACCGCGCCUGUGUGAAGCUCCCUCGACGAGUCGAGUAGCUUGGGAAUGCUGCUCUAAACGGGAGGUAAAUUCCUUCCAAAGCUAAAAUACCGGCCCGAGACCGAUAGCGCACAAGUAGAGUGAUCGAAAGGAUGAAAAGCACUUUGGAAAGAGAGUCAAACAGCACGUGAAAUUUGUUGAAAGGAAAGGAUUUGUGACCAGACUUGCGCCGUACGGAUCUCCCGGUGUUCUCACCGGUGCACUCCGCGCGGUUCAGGCCAGCAUCGUUUUUUGGGGGGGGAACGAAAGCGAUGGGAACGUACUCUCCCCCCCUGGGGAGUUGUUAUAGCCCUGCCCGCAGAAAAACCCCCGCCGGGAGCCGAGCCCCGGGCUUUGUCAGGGAUGCCUGGCGUAAUGUUUACCAAUCCCCCCGCCUGGAAACCCCGGGCCACCCUGGUUUUUUAAUAAAGGGGAGAAAAAAGGCCCCCGUUUUUGAAAAAAAAAAACCAACGGCUUUUUUAAAAAAGGGGGAGAAAAA